This 2979-nucleotide ribosomal RNA is filed under the name Labilithrix luteola. RNAcentral's name for it is "bacterial LSU rRNA". It matches the Rfam family "Bacterial large subunit ribosomal RNA". Lineage: Bacteria; Pseudomonadati; Myxococcota; Polyangiales; Labilitrichaceae. The record is from RNAcentral.
GGGAUAAGGCUAAGCUACAAAGGGCGUAUGGUGAAUGCCUAGGCAGUCAGAGGCGAUGAAGGACGUGGACAGCUGCGAUAAGCCACGGCGAGGCGCUAACAGCCUGUGACCCGUGGAUCUCCGAAUGGGGAAACCCCAAUGGCGUUUAGCCAUGAGCCUAACGUGAAUACAUAGCGUUAGGCGGCAAACUCAGGGAACUGAAACAUCUAAGUACCUGAAGGAAAAGAAAGAAACCUCGAUUCUCCUAGUAGCGGCGAGCGAACGGGGAACAGCCUAAACCUUAGGACGCAAGUCCUAAGGGGUCGUGGGGUCUGCAACAUGAGCGCGGUGCGAUAGAUGAACGGCAUGGAAUGGCCGGCCAGAGACGGUGACAGCCCGGUAAUUGAAAUUGCGCCAGACUCUAGCGGAUACCCGAGUAUCGCAGGACACGUGCAAUCCGGCGAGAAUCUGCGGGGACCAUCCCGUAAGGCUAAAUACUACUGACUGACCGAUAGUGAACUAGUACCGCGAGGGAAAGGUGAAAAGCACCCCGGUAAGGGGAGUGAAAUAGUACCUGAAACCGUACGCCUACAAGCAGUGGGAGCACUAUGACGGCUUCGGCCGUAACGUGUGACCGCGUACCUUUUGCAUAAUGGGCCUGCGAGUUACGCUGUGUGGCAAGGUUAAGCCGAAAGGUGGAGCCGGAGCGAAAGCGAGUCCUAACAGGGCGUUCAGUCGUAUGGCGUAGACCCGAAACCUUAGCGAUCUAUCCAUGUGCAGGUUGAAGAGUUGGGUAACACCGCUUGGAGGACCGAAUCCACCACAGUUGAAAAUGUGGGGAAUGACGUGUGGAUAGGAGUGAAAGGCUAAUCAAGCUGGGAGAUAGCUGGUUCUCCUCGAAAUAUAUUGAGGUAUAGCCUCGGACGAAUACCGCCGGAGGUAGAGCACUGAAUGGGCUAGGGGUCCUACCAGAUUACCAAACCCAAUCAAACUCCGAAUGCCGGUGAGUACUAUCCGGGAGUCAGACGGUGCGAGAUAAGUUGCAUUGUCGAAAGGGAAAGAGCCCAGAUCGUCAGCUAAGGUCCCAAAGUCUGACCUAAGUGUCGAAGGAUGUGGGAACGCUUUGACAACCAGGAGGUUGGCUUAGAAGCAGCCAUCCUUUAAAGAAAGCGUAAUAGCUCACUGGUCAAGCGAGCCUGCGCCGAAAAUAUAACGGGGCUAAAGGUCAGCACCGAAGCUACGGACUCCGCAAGGAGUGGUAGAGGAGUACUCUCAAGUAGAUACACGCCGGACCGUGAGGACCGGUAUCGGACUUGAGAGGAGCUUAUGCAGGCAUGAGUAGCGAUAAACCAAGUGAGAAACUUGGUCGCCGUAAGCCCAAGGUUUCCUGGGGAAGGAUAAUCCUCCCAUGGGUUAGCCGGUACCUAAGCCGAGGCCGAGAGGCGUAGGUGAUGGAAAGCAGGUUAAUAUUCCUGCGCUACUAGGGAAGGCGUUGAAGUAAGCGGGGACGGAGUAGGAUAGGUCAAGCUGGGCAGUUGGUUGUUCCAGUUCAAGCCCGUAGGCUGAUUCGCCAGGACCCGAGAGGGACAAACAGCGAAUCAUUAGGCCGAGAGGUGAUGAGGUCAGACUUCGGUCUGGCAACUUGGCGAUUCCACACUUCCAAGAAAAGCCGCGUACAGAGCCCCUCUAGUAACCGUACUGCAAACCGACUCAGGUGGGUGGGUAGAAUAUACCAAGGCGCGUGAGAGAACCCUGGCUAAGGAACUCGGCAAACUGACACCGUAACUUCGGGAGAAGGUGUGCCUGUUUACGUGUAACGGUUUACCCGUGAAGCGUUGGCAGGUCGCAGAGAAUCGGGAGUUGUGACUGUUUACUAAAAACACAGCACUCUGCUAAGUCGUAAGACGACGUAUAGGGUGUGAUGCCUGCCCGGUGCUGGAAGGUUAAGGGGACGCGUCAGCGUAAGCGAAGCGCCGAACCGAAGCCCCAGUAAACGGCGGCCGUAACUAUAACGGUCCUAAGGUAGCGAAAUUCCUUGUCGGGUAAGUUCCGACCUGCACGAAUGGCAUAACAACAUCUCCGCUGUCUCGGCCAGGGACUCAGCGAAAUUGUAUUGGGGGUGAAGAUACCCUCUACCCGCGGCAAGACGGAAAGACCCCAUGAACCUUUACUGCAACUUGGCAGUGAGUCUCGGAUCAUUCUGCGUAGGAUAGGUGGGAGGCUUUGAAGUCGGGCCUCUGGGUUCGAUGGAGCCACCGUUGAAAUACCACCCUGGAUGAUCUGGGAUUCUAACCUGCGUCCGUGACCCGGACGAGGGACACUGCCUGGCGGGCAGUUUGACUGGGGCGGUCGCCUCCUAAAUUGUAACGGAGGCGUGCGAAGGUUCCCUCAGCCUGAUUGGAAACCAGGCGUAGAGUGCAAACGCACAAGGGAGCUUAACUGCGAGACCGACAGGUCGAGCAGGUGCGAAAGCAGGCGUUAGUGAUCCGGUGGUCCUGUAUGGGAGGGCCAUCGCUUAUCGGAUAAAAGGUACUCUGGGGAUAACAGGCUGAUCGCGCCUGAGAGUUCACAUCGGCGGCGCGGUUUGGCACCUCGAUGUCGGCCCAUCGCAUCCUGGGGCUGGAGCAGGUCCCAAGGGUUCGGCUGUUCGCCGAUUAAAGCGGUACGCGAGCUGGGUUUAAAACGUCGUGAGACAGUUUGGUCCCUAUCUGCCGUGGGCGCAGGAUACUUGAGUGGAGCUGACCAUAGUACGAGAGGACCUGGUUGGACGCACCCCUAGUAAGCCGGUUGUCACGCCAGUGGCACAGCCGGGUAGCUAUGUGCGGAACGGAUAACCGCUGAAAGCAUCUAAGCGGGAAGCCGGCCAUAAGACAAUGUAUCCCGGGCGCAAGCCCCUAAAGACCCCUUGUAGACCACAAGGUUGAUAGGCCGGGUGUGGAAGCCAAGCAAUUGGCGGAGCUGACCGGUACUAAUAGGUCGUGAGGCUUAGUCAUAUCUCUA